This is a non-coding RNA of Podarcis lilfordi (Lilford's wall lizard), 72 nucleotides long. The record is from the annotation of a GenBank genome assembly. Lineage: Eukaryota; Metazoa; Chordata; Lepidosauria; Squamata; Lacertidae.
AGGGCCAAAGCUCAGUGCUAGAGCAUCUGCUUGGGAUGCAGAAGGUUCAAGGUUCAAUCCCUAACAUCCCUA